UUAAAUAUUAUUGGUGGCCUAGGGAAGGGUUUCGCCUGCCUUACCCUAGAGCCGCCCUUGGUAAAGAGGCGAGCAAUUUCCGAGUGUAAUCAGAUCUUAAGAUGACAAUUUCUUACUCUCCUUGCUUUCGACCCCUGAAAGUUUUCCCUAGAAGCAAUCUUAUUCGUUCAAGCGGCACUCAGACCUUCAAACGAUACAAUGUAGUGGCAUGUACGAAAAAAUCAAAUGAAGAUAUCAGUCUUGGAGCAAAGGUUGAUUUCUUACUAGAUAAUGUCAAAUGGGAUGACAAAGGCCUGGCAGUUGCAAUAGCCCAAAAUGUUGAUACAGGAGCAGUCUUAAUGCAAGGGUUUGCCAACAGAGAAGCUCUGUCAACAACCAUCUCAUCACGUAAAGCAACAUUUUAUAGCCGGUCGCGGUCAUCUUUAUGGACAAAAGGAGAGACCUCCAAUAAUUUUAUCAAUGUUUUUGAUGUCUUUCUGGAUUGUGAUCGUGAUUCUAUAAUAUAUCUUGGGAAGCCUGAUGGCCCAACAUGCCACACGGGGUCAGAGACAUGUUAUUACACCUCAGUUGAUGAAAUCCUGAAAAAUCCCGAGGUUGAGAAAAAUGAGCUGGCUAUGACGACUUUAUACGCAUUAGAAUCUACAAUCAACAAAAGGAAAGCAGAAACAUCUAGUUCUUCAAGUGGAAAACCCUCGUGGACAAAGCGAUUGUUGCUUGAUGACAAGUUGCUUUGCUCCAAAAUUCGGGAGGAGGCUGACGAGUUAUGCCGAACUCUGGAAGAAAAUGAGGAUAAAGGACGGACUGCCUCAGAGAUGGCAGAUGUCUUGUAUCAUGCCAUGGUUUUGCUUUCUCUUAGAGGAGUAAAAAUCGAGGAAGUUCUGCAGGUCCUUAGACAAAGGUUUUCAAAGUCGGGCAUUGAAGAAAAGAAUAGUCGGAAAUCCUAGGACAAAUGGUAUUGUCAAUACUUCAUCCUCUACGACCUGAUUGAAUUUGCCUCAGUACAAAUGAAUUAACCUUUAUGAGGAAUACAGUUGUUGAAGGCCUCAUUACAGUCCACAAAGGUUCUUAAUUAUGUUUUCUAAAAAGGAGAGGGGCUUACUCCAGUUCUAAUGUCGUAAAGGGAGAUUCAUGAUAUGAUUUAAAGGGAGAACUUUGAAGUCUCCUAUGUAAUAUAGAUCUUAUUAACGAUGUGCUAAACUAUGGGAACAUAUAUGAACAACAUUACAGUAGUCCGCACAGAGAGGAAAUGGGGUCAUCCAGUGUUAAUUUCUCUCUUUUUUUUUCAUUGGUGGUGUUAUUUUUCUAAAUGUAUCUGAGAAGAAUUGUUUGACUAUUGUUCAACUCUGUUCAUAUUGCCUUGAAGGCAUUUCUGCAUAUGAUAUAUAGCAAGUUAAAGUAGACUCA
This is an RNA transcript of Nicotiana attenuata, 1404 nucleotides long. It is a transcript of the gene named histidine biosynthesis bifunctional protein hisIE, chloroplastic, with no coding region annotated. The transcript is spliced from 6 exons. NCBI's taxonomy places the organism in Eukaryota, Viridiplantae, Streptophyta, Magnoliopsida, Solanales, Solanaceae. The record is from RefSeq and is a predicted model, not a curated record.